This 464-nucleotide ribosomal RNA is filed under the name Streptococcus mitis. RNAcentral's name for it is "bacterial SSU rRNA". It matches the Rfam family "Bacterial small subunit ribosomal RNA", at positions 45 to 499 of the family's 1533-position model. Lineage: Bacteria; Bacillati; Bacillota; Bacilli; Lactobacillales; Streptococcaceae. The record is from RNAcentral.
UGCCUAAUACAUGCAAGUAGACGCUGAAGGAGGAGCUUGCUUCUCUGGAUGAGUUGCGAACGGGUGAGUAACGCGUAGGUAACCUGCCUGGUAGCGGGGGAUAACUAUUGGAAACGAUAGCUAAUACCGCAUAACGAGUAGAUGAUGCAUGACAUAUGCUUAAAAGAUGCAAUUGCAUCACUACCAGAUGGACCUGCGUUGUAUUAGCUAGUUGGUGGGGUAACGGCUCACCAAGGCGACGAUACAUAGCCGACCUGAGAGGGUGAUCGGCCACACUGGGACUGAGACACGGCCCAGACUCCUACGGGAGGCAGCAGUAGGGAAUCUUCGGCAAUGGAGCGGAAGCUCCUGACCGAGCAACGCCGCGUGAGUGAAGAAGGUUUUACGGAUCGUAAAGCUCUGUUGUUAAGAGAAGAACGAGUGUGAGAAGUGGAAAGUGUACAUCAAGUACCGAGCUAUUAUUA